CGGGACGGGUGAGUAAUGUCUAGGGAAACUGCCCGAUGGAGGGGGAUAACUACUGGAAACGGUAGCUAAUACCGCAUAACGUCGCAAGACCAAAGGAGGGGGACCUUAGGGCCUCUUGCCAUCGGAUGUGCCCAGAUGGGAUUAGCUAGUAGGUGGGGUAAAGGCUCACCUAGGCGACGAUCCCUAGCUGGUCUGAGAGGAUGACCAGUCACACUGGAACUGAGACACGGUCCAG
RNAcentral lists this ribosomal RNA (235 nucleotides) under uncultured bacterium. RNAcentral's name for it is "partial 16S ribosomal RNA". It matches the Rfam family "Bacterial small subunit ribosomal RNA", at positions 100 to 334 of the family's 1533-position model. The record is from RNAcentral.